GAAUACUUCCUCUGCACUGGGAGGGGAUGUUGACCAGAAUCUUUGGGGGUGGGAGGCAGUCCUGUGGUUGAUUUAUUUACUGAAGGUAGGUGUUGGAAUUACACUCUUUUAGAGGGUUCAGCUCUCUGAAACCCCCUGGGACCACUGGACAGCCAUUAUUCUCAGGCUAGGAUUUGACAUAGGCCUCCGAGGCCAAUGUUCUUUCUCCAAAAGCAGCACAGCAACAACAGCUCUGCCUUAAAAGACAGAAGAUUACACUUAGAAGAUUUCUCCAACGCCACAUACUUUGGAGGUGAGAGGAGUACCCCAUCACUCUCCCUCUGAAAACUUCAAAACCUUCAGAGGCCAGGGUGAAUAUUUAGAAAGCAGGCGGGUCCAACAGAAAGAACGGCCAUUGAUCUAUUCCAAAAAAAUAAUGUGUUUGGGGCCCAUGUGUCAGGUACAGCGCGAGGCACUUUUUAAGGAGCUCCACCCUUGGCUGGCAGGAACUCCCUCGGUCAGCAGAGGCUGGUAAACUAAGAAAGCAAGAUGCUAGGAGGACAGCUGGCUCCUUAAUCCCACCCUGGCCCCCCAAACAAGACAGCUCAAGUCUUGCCGGCCCUGGAGGCCCAGGCACUUGGACAUCACUUGCUCUAUGCCUUUCUUGGGAGGCAGAGCUUAGUGGGGGUUGAGGAGAGAUCUACAGGCUGAGUGCGCUCAUGACACAAUCAAGAAGUUUCUGGGGCCAGGUUUUUAUAACUUGGGAUCUGUGAAUCCUCUGACGGUGUAUGCCAAAUUGGGGCUUUUAUUAUUUUUUUCUCCUGGAGAGACUAUAGCUUCCAUGCAACUUCUAAUAUGAACUGGCAGGAAAAUAAGUUAAGAGCCACCAAAACCAAAUUCUUAGAAAGUUAAUCGAGGGCCUCCCAAGACUGCCUCUACCUCUCCAAUACACAGCCCUUCCUCUGCCACUUACACUCUCUCUGAACAUCCCAACCUCCUUCUGCCAACAAGCCAUUUCCUCCUUCAGUUUUGUGGUGGUCUGGCAUGAACUUUCAGGUGAAGUCCUCUCAUCCUUGAACACUUACUUAUUAACAAACACCUAUUUACUGAGCACUUGAUGGGGCCAAGCAUCAUGCUAGGCUCUGAGGAUACAGCCAUAAACAAGAUGGAUGAGAUCUUCCUUGUGUUUCCAGAGACAUCCUCCAGCUCCCAACCCCAUUUAAGGCUAAUACAACAGUUUCUUACACUUCAUUUGUGUCACAUUUACACACUAUUUUAGGUGAAGGUAUCUGUCUACCUCACUUAUUCCUUCUCCAUCCCCACCCCACUCCAUCCAAAAAGAGAAACAGACACAGAAUCUUUCACAGAGGCCAUCCUAAGUAAAUGCACAUCAAUCCAUGAAUGCUGAUGGGCUCACCAGUGGUCCAAGCAGCAAGACUAGCAUACCAGGGCAAGCCUGACUCAGCAACACAGGGUCCAGGGGACCUUGGGAGAUGUCUCUGUUGCAGCAAAGAGAGCAUGGGGCCUCUGUUCCUCAGCCACAGCCUGCAGUUCUCAUUCCAGCUGCUGAUCUUUCAAAUUGUGCAUGCAGUCAGGGAAGUUAGAAAAACAACGCCCAAGUAGAUGUGUCUGGCUGACCUACCUCCUGGACUAUCCAGGUGGAGGAGAAGCAUACAUCUCAGAUAUCUGCACCAAUACUUUCAGCAUGUAAACUGAUGGAAGACAUCAAACAAUGCAUCAAAGACAUAUACCCCUCUCAUGAAGAAGAGAGCUGGCUGCUCUAGAUACCACAGCCAUCUCUUCUAGCAAUCUCUGCCAGCUCAUUUCCAGAGCAUCUGAACACAACCAUCUACUUCCUAAAUCACAACAUGGCAGUGACUAGAGCUGCCACCAUCCCUUUCUACCUGUCAGAUGCAGAAGGAUGCACAGCCAACAGUAACAGGACCACAGAGCUGUUUCUCUAAUAUCACAAAAGCUUUCAAUACUGUUAAUGAAAUGGCUCUAGCAGCCACCAAAGAAAUCUGCUACUGGACUUUGUUGUCCAAGAAAUAUGACCUUAUGGUACUGAGGUCAGAGA
This 2056-nucleotide long non-coding RNA is filed under the name Homo sapiens (human). RNAcentral describes it as "HSALNT0020822". Lineage: Eukaryota; Metazoa; Chordata; Mammalia; Primates; Hominidae. The record is from RNAcentral.